RNAcentral lists this non-coding RNA (24 nucleotides) under Arabidopsis thaliana (thale cress). The record is from RNAcentral. Lineage: Eukaryota; Viridiplantae; Streptophyta; Magnoliopsida; Brassicales; Brassicaceae.
AACAAGUAUCUUCUGUACAGAUGC